Molecule: ribosomal RNA, 425 nt
Filed under: uncultured bacterium
Lineage: Bacteria
Description: partial 16S ribosomal RNA
Rfam family: Bacterial small subunit ribosomal RNA
Source: RNAcentral
GUGGGGAAUCUUGCGCAAUGGGCGAAAGCCUGACGCAGCCAUGCCGCGUGAAUGAUGAAGGUCUUAGGAUUGUAAAAUUCUUUCACCGGGGACGAUAAUGACGGUACCCGGAGAAGAAGCCCCGGCUAACUUCGUGCCAGCAGCCGCGGUAAUACGAAGGGGGCUAGCGUUGCUCGGAAUUACUGGGCGUAAAGGGCGCGUAGGCGGACAGUUUAGUCAGAGGUGAAAGCCCAGGGCUCAACCUUGGAAUUGCCUUUGAUACUGGCUGUCUUGAGUACGGGAGAGGUGAGUGGAACUCCGAGUGUAGAGGUGAAAUUCGUAGAUAUUCGGAAGAACACCGGUGGCGAAGGCGGCCAACUGGUCCAUUACUGACGCUGAGGUGCGAAAGCGUGGGGAGCAAACAGGAUUAGAAACCCUAGUAGUCC